UCAAGUUAGUGGCGCACGGGUGAGUAACACGUGGGUAAUCUGCCCAACAGCUCAGGAUAACAGUUGGAAACGACUGCUAAUACCGGAUACGAACUAGUUUUAUCGUUAGUUGAAAGGAGGCCUCUGCUUGCAAGCUUUCACUGUUGGAUGAGCCCGCGGCUCAUUAGAUAGUUGGUGGGGUAACGGCCUACCAAGUCAGUGAUGAGUAACCGGCCUGAGAGGGUGAACGGUCACACUGGGACUGGAACACGGCCCAGACUCCUACGGGAGGCAGCAGUGGGGAGUAUUGCGCAAUGGACGAAAGUCUGACGCAGCGACGCCGCGUGAAGGAUGAAGGUCUUCGGAUCGUAAACUUCUGUCAGGAGGAAAGAACUGCACGGGUGCUAAUCAGCCCGUGUUUGACGGUACCUCCAGAGGAAGCACCGGCUAACUCCGUGCCAGCAGCCGCGGUAAUACGGAGGGUGCAAGCGUUAAUCGGAAUCACUGGGCGUAAAGCGCGCGUAGGCGGUGAUGAAAGUCAGUGGUGAAAGCCCUCAGCUUAACUGGGGAAUUGCCAUUGAAACUGCAUUGCUUGAGUAUGUGAGAGGAUAGUGGAAUUCCUGGUGUAGGAGUGAAAUCCGUAGAUAUCAGGAGGAACAUCAGUGGCGAAGGCGACUAUCUGGCACAUUACUGACGCUGAGGUGCGAAAGCGUGGGGUGCAAACAGGAUUAGAUACCCUGGUAGUCCACGCCGUAAACGAUGGAUACUAGGUGCUGGGAUUUAUCUCGGUGCCGUAG
This 776-nucleotide ribosomal RNA is filed under the name uncultured bacterium. RNAcentral's name for it is "bacterial SSU rRNA". It matches the Rfam family "Bacterial small subunit ribosomal RNA", at positions 87 to 851 of the family's 1533-position model. The record is from RNAcentral.